RNAcentral lists this long non-coding RNA (12293 nucleotides) under Capsicum annuum. RNAcentral's name for it is "long non-coding RNA (CANN_LNC006422)". Lineage: Eukaryota; Viridiplantae; Streptophyta; Magnoliopsida; Solanales; Solanaceae. The record is from RNAcentral.
UUAGAAUGAAGCUGAACCAUAUAAGUAAUCAUAACAAUGCAAAAAUAACUUACCUAAAAUACCAAUCAUGCCCAAAACCAGGUGUCAAAAGUGUAAGAACUAUUAAUAUAAUCCAGGAGUCAAAUACAUCAGAAAAAUAAUUGCAAGGGAAUAAUAUUUGUCUCUAAAUACUAAUAGUGACAUAAAUACUAUAGAAAGAUAGAGGUGAACUCUGAAUGCAUAAAUGUCCAACUGCUACCUUGGAAGCUCCAACAAUCACCCGAGUCAAGCAAGCUAAGGCGCACUCAAGCUAGGACCUGCACCAAAAGGGCGCAGUAGACAUGAGUAUGGUACACUUAUACCCAGUAGGUAUCAUAGGACGACCGAGAAAAGUACUAAAUAAAGCAUACAAAAUAUACACUAAGGACACAUCUCCUACAAUAAAAGGUGACCCACAACAGUAGCCCACACCACUUUCACUAACAGUUCUAAUAUAUCACAUACAUACCAAGAUAGAACAUGAGUAUGCAAUAUAUCACAUAUAGGUAGAACAGGGGGGAACAUUCAUAUAAAAUACUAUCAAAUACAAGUAAAAAAAUAAGUAAUUACAUAGAUGACAAGUCAAUAUGACAAUACAACACAAUAAAGUAAGUGCAAUAUAUAUGAUGAUGAUGAUGCACGAGGUCAUCGUACAACCUCUGGGAUCAUUGCACAAUCCCCGUAUAUACCUACAGAGCUAAAGCUUCCCGGCGUAGGACCUAUGAGGGGUUCUUCAACCUAUAUAUAAUCCACAUAUCUCAUAUCUCCUUUUCGUCACAUCUCUUGGAAAGGAUUUUAUAAGGUGUUGCAAUAUAUCCUCCCCAGCACAUCCCUCGGGAAAGAUUUUAAAAAGGUAUUUCCAGUGUUACUCAGGUGCUGUCAUAGUGAUACCAAUGUUUCAUGAAUGAGUAUGAUAUGAGGAUAUAAUGCUCACAAUCAAUCACAAUGAUAUAUUUCCACAACCAACCAUAUGAUAUAUUUCCACAACCAACUAUAAUAAUAUAUUUCCACAAUCAUGUGAGUCAAUAUCCACUCAUUAUUUCCGUUUCAUUCAUAAAUUUUCAUAUGUCUCAUAUACCAAUAAGUAUAAAUAUAUCACAAUACACCAAUGGAACCAUAUCGGGUAUUUCAACAACAUAAUACAAUUAUUCACAUGUAUUUAGGACUAUCAACAUCAUAUAGGCAUUCACACAGUUACACACAUCACAUAACAUCUCAAUUUCGGCAAUUGCAUCACAUAUAGGCCCCUACACGGGCACAAUACAUAGAUACCCAUUUUUCAUGAUUAGUUCCCACCCUUAACAUGCAUUUUGUAUCAUCAUUUACUACCCAGUCCAGUCUGAAUGAGUUAAGUCAUAACCUACCUUAAAAGCCAAAAUCGGUCAGCUACACUUUGAACCUAUGACCUUACUUUACAUGAACGAUCCCGAACUCCUCUAAAAAUAUAAAAUAUGUAAUCUACGCAUCAAAAUAAAAUCAACGAUACCCAUAUUGACUACUUUUGGUUCGAGGUCAAAGUGGACCCCUAAAAUGAGUUUUCAAAAAAGAAGAGCAAAGUCAAAACUUUACUUCAAAAAUAUAUUUCCUAGAUUUUUAGGAAUCUACAGUUGAAAACCCAAGGCAAAUCGAGUCGAAACGAGGUUAUAAUUGAAGAAAAACUAUUUUUGAGCUAUACCGGUAAAAUCUUUGAAAUCCAGGCUAAAAUCAAGAAUCGGAGUUGUUUUAAAGGUAAAAUUGAUGAAAAACUAGUAAUUAUAAGAUAAAAAUAUUAUUCAAGUGAAAAGAGGUGAAAAUGGGGUUUGACAUCAAGCCCUAAGAUUUUGAGAUUUGAAAAAUUAAUCAAGAAAUUACUAAUAAAAGGGUGAAUUCUUGCCUUAAAUCCGUAAUAAAAUCAAGAAAUAGAUGUUAAUCUAGCUUCUCAAGCUCCCACAAGCUUCAUUUUAAAGCUACUAUACUAUUUUAGGGUUUAAAUAUGAAAAGAAAAAAUGAAAAAUGAGCAAAAUGGACCGAAAAAUUAAAUAAUAGUGCGGAAAAUCUUCACUAACAAGGAAAAAAAAGUUGUUGUUUUUCUAUUUUAAGUCCAAUUCGGACUUCGAUGGGGUGACCGAGAUUCGUUCGAAGUUUGAUAUAAGCAAACAAACUAUGCAACCAUACUAAAUUCGACAUUUCAAAUGCUUAGGCGAAGUCAGAUUUUUGAAAAAACAUCAUUUUCAUAAAGUUGAUCCCCGAAAUUUGAAAUUAUAAUUUUUCAAAUCGAGGGUCGAAAUGAGAUUUAAAAUCCGUAAAAUCACACCAAAUACUCUAACACCCUAAAAUCAACAUUUUGAAUCUGCUGGCGAAUUUUCCAGCUGAGAUUGUUUCGACCAAAAGUAGGUCCUAUACCCAUAUUUUCAAUUUUUCAACUUUUCGACCAAUAGGUCGAAAUGAGCUCGAGUGCACCGGCACCCUAACCAAAGGUCUACCUAUUCUAAAAUUAAUAUUUUAGAGUUUUUGGCAUAGUAUGUUCAACCAUCCAUUGCACGGAUCUAAAUAUAUCCACAUAAGUCGAAACUAAAGCUCUCAAAGCCAUCAAAAACCACAAUAUCGCAUAAAUGGACCAAAAUGCAUCAAAAAUCAUGUCAAUCACCCCCACACCCUAGAAAUACCAUAAUUUAACUAUGGAAAGUGGUAAAAUAGUCAAAUCACAAAUUUCAUCAAAUUUUUAGGACGUUACAAUUUUUUUUUACAUAUUAUAAUUUUAAUUGUUUAUAGUGCAAUACAUUUUUUUUGUAAUUAUAUGUCGAUAUUUAUAUUUUUGUACCUUAUUUAAUACAGCCUACAGAGAUAAUGUCGGCUUAUUUUAAUACAUAGAGCAACAAAUUAGUCAAGUUAAGCUCUUGUCACUUUCUAAAAGAUAGACACUUGACUUUGUUUCACCUGCUACCCAAAAUUUAAGGGAUAUGCUUGGAAAAAAGUAGAUUUGAUGAAUUGAUUUUUUUCGUUUUUUCAUACACUUUACACACACAUUAAUACAUACAAAUACAUAUAAAAAGGAUUUUCCCAUUUUUCUCUCUCCUAGAACCAGGCAGCCACUGCCGCUACUCCUCUCCAGCGAAGAUCCACCGGAGCACGUCCACCACUGCACGGACUGUUCUUUCCUCUUUCUCUUUCGCUUUCAACGUCGGAGCUCCACCGGCAGAAACCAACCGCCACCGCGAUUCCAUCAACACCAACAUCACUGUCGUUACCUUCCACCAAAAAAAUAAGGAACAGCUGCCACCAGCAAGCUCUAGCCACACUACUCCAUCAUAAAAAAACAUCACCACCAACCUAUACCCAUCGACUACUUGCUCCCUCCAAGUGCCGCCUCCACAAACUCCAACCAACCAUGGUUGGUGAAAACCCACUGCUCCAACCCGCUGUCACCACCCUUACACUCUUCCUCUACUCUUUUCCGUUGCACCAGUGAGCUACCUCCGGUCACCACCAUCAUGGAUAUCCCCUUUUUUUCUCUCUCCUCUACUUUGUUGUUGUAACAUCAGAAAAAAGGUCAGAUCUGACCAAAUUUAUACAAUUUUGGAGUUACUUUGGUGAUUUGUCGUUGAAGUGAUGUCUCCACCACUACUGCGAUACCAGAACCAUGAGGGUUUCUAGUGGUACUUCCCUUAACAUUAAAUGUAUAAGAAAAUGAUAAGUUUUCUUUUUCUUUGUUCGUUCCUCAUAUUUUGGAGUAAAUGUUGUUUGUUGUUGGGUUGAAUAAUUUUUGGGAGAUGCUAUUGUUUGCUUUACUAUUAUUAUGUGCAGAUUAAUGCUGCUGCACUAGAGUCCGACUGAUAUUUGGCCAGAAAAACCUUCUUUUAUCACUUUGUUGUCUUAAUUUUGUUGUGAAAUUUUUUAUUACUUGUUUACUGCUCUUGGUCGUUUGAUAUUCCUUUACAAUUUUUUUGGACAUUUCGUCCCUUGCAUUUAUUUACACUGACAAUAAAUAAAUACAUGACCGAUGAUAUUAUCUCUCCAUCAAAUUUUUUAGGCCAUCAUAAUACAAAAGAAAGAUCUUUACUUUUCAAGUUAUUUAUUUUAUAUCAAAAAGAGACACUUGGCCGAUGAAGAAAUUCCUAUCAAUUUUCGAGGCCUCCCCAAAUAAAAGACGGAUAUUACAUAUAUAAAAAUAUGUAACAAAAUGAAAUAAAUUCAGAUGAUGAUGAAAUCUUUAUAAUAUUAUGAUAACACAAAAGGUUUUACGAUUCGUAACUUGGUAAGGCAAUUUAGGACGACCGAUUAAUCGAGCAACCGCUUCGUAGCCAUGGCGUAUCUAAAACUUAACCCGAGCCCAUGUUUUAAUAAAAAUUCUAUUUUUAUGUAUAUAUGUACACAUAGUUUUUUUAAAUUUACUAUGCUUUACCACUAAUGUAUUUGUAUAGGUUCUCGGGUACACUUACCAAAAAAUGACAUUCAAGGGAGAAUUUUAUACUUGUCUUUUCUUAUAAUUGUACACAUUAAACAUAGUGAAGACUUUACUUUUGGGUUGUUGGAUGGGAACAUUCUUUAUUUACAUAUACAUUAAUAUACGUUUAGGCAAGCUUUGGCCGUUAGUACUCUAUAAAAGAAUUAAAUUAAUCAAUUAGUUCACACAUUUACAUUAUAAAUAUUGUGUAGUUUUCUUCUCAAAUGAAUCUUUAUUUUUCUUUAUAAUUUUAAUCAAGUAAAAAUUAUUCGUAAAUAUUUUUAUUUUUCACGGCACAUUAAAUUUUUUUCUCUUUUCAUACAUCACAAAAUACUUUUCUUUUUCACAUGUAAUUUAUACAUUUUAUACAUAUCUAUUAUAUGUUCUCAUAACAAUGGGUUUUGUUUAUAUACUGAAUAUACACAUACCUUUAAAUAGUUUUAAAUCUUUGCAUUUCUCAAAAGAAUUAAUUUAUACUUAAUAUACAUACACCUUUUACAUCAUUUUAAUUAUACCUCCUCAUUCUUUGAUAAAUUUAGUCUAGUCAGGUACCAUAUUUGUAGAUCCUAGAGGGUGCCUAACCUCUUUCCUUCGGGAUAAUUUGAACCCUUACCUAGAAUCUCAAUUGAUUUUUUGUAGACUAAAAUAUCACUCAUACUUGUUAAUAAAUAAAUAGGUUUUCUUAUUUUCCUUAAAAAUUAGGUGGCAACUCUGUACAAUUUUCAAUUCUUUUUAGAGUUCAUAAAUUAUAUUUUGUUUAACCUUGAUAAAAAAAAAUAGGGCAUGACAACAGUCCCACAGCAUGGGACAACAAAACAUAGGCAACAAAUCUCAGAAAGUAAAAUUAGUACAACGGCUCAAAAUGAUAAUCAAAACAAAUAGGAGGAAUAUCCUUUUAAUGAAAUACAUGAAUAUGGAAAAGAAAGUGAUGAGCAGAUAAGCCUAAGAAGGGAUGCAGAGACAUAUUCAUAGAGACAUUGCAUCUUCAAUGUAGAACAAGGAGCAGAGAUAAAGAUGCCAAAUUUGAUCAAUGGUUGGUAAUACAUUAUUUUAGAAUAUAAGAUCCAUUAAUACUCAAAGUUUCUUUGAAAAAUUAAUGUAUCUGAAAAAGAGGAAUCAUUACUCAUUCAUUUCUUUGGUGAAGGCUUUUCAAAAUCCACAAGAGUUAGAACAAUAUAAAAGGAAACUAGGAUUCUUAAAUGCUAUGGCUAAUUAUUCAGCUAAAAUCUGAAUUUUCUAGGGAGAUGAGUGGCAAGGCCUUGUCAUUUUACACACCAUACAAUAGGUAACAAUGAAGUUCAACAAAGACAAUAAGGACUUCCUUAUUAUUGCAUUCUAUGCUAGGCAUAAUUCAUUAGAUAGAUUAGAGUUGUGGGAGGAGCUAGAAUAUAUGGCAGAACAAAAUCAUAGCCCAUGGAUGGUAGGGGGAGAUUUCAAUAUCAUAAUUGCUGAAAAAGAAAAACUAGGGGUACUGUCAUUCACUCAAAUGAAGAAACUGAUUUUUCCUUAUGAAUUAAUAGUUGUGCACUGACAGAUGUGAAUUUCACAUAAAGUAAAUACACUUGGUGGAAUGAAAGAAUUGAAAAGGGUUGUAUUUUCAAAUGAUUGAAUAGAGUAUUGAUGAAUUAGGCAUUGAUGGACAACUUCCCUUCAUUUGAAGUUCACCAUUUGAUUAGGCAAGGAUCAAACCAUGCACCACUAUACUUGGUGUGCAGCACAAAAGAGGAACCCAUUAUCAAGCCUUUUAGAUUUCUAAACUUCUGGGUGAAUCACUCACAAUUUAAGAAAGUGGUGAAGCAUAUUUGGAGUAUUAACUUUGUAGGGAGUCCUUUCAUUGAACUGCAAGCUAACUAAAGAAAGAGAAGAAGGCAUUAUCUGAAUGGAGUAAAGAAACUUUUGAAAACAUAUUCCAAAACAUUGCUACUACGAAAGAUGUGAUAAGGGUCAAACAAAGUCAAUUUGAAAUUAUGCCUUCAGCAAAAAAUAGGGUUAAACUAUAUAAAGUAGAAGCAGAGUUAAAAAGAUGGUUGAAAAUAGAGGAAGAAUUUUGGAAGCAUAAAUUUGAAAUGAGAUGGCUUGUGGAAGAAGAUAAAAAGUUUAAUUUUUUUCAUUCUUAUGUGAAAGGAAGAAGAAAGAAGCUACAUAUCUCUAAAAUCAAUAGCAGGCAAGGGAUAGCCCUUCAAAUAAAUCAACAAAUAGGGAUGAGGCUGUUGCAUUUUUCAUAGAAUAGUUCUCAGAGGAAGGGGUGAGUCAAGAAUAGGAUGUGUUGCAAUGUAUACCCAAGUUGAUUACUGAAGAGUAGAAUCAAGAAAUUAUAAGGCUACCAAAUUUUGAUGAAGUUAAGAGAGUAGUUUUUGAACUUAAUGGAGACAGUGCUUUGGGCCCAGAUGGUUUUUCAGGAGUAUUUAUUUAGAGUUGCUGGGACAUCAUUAGAAAAGACAUCACCAAAUUGGUAAGAGCAUUUUUAUGUGGACAGGAGCUCCCAAAAUUUAUUACUCACAUCAAUUUGAUGUUAUUGCCUAAAAAGGAAUUGGUAAAGAAUUUUUUAGAUCUUAGACCAAUAAACCUAAGUACAUUGACCAAUAAAAUCAUAUCUAGAGUAUUACAUGAAAGAAUUAUUAUGGUGCUUUCUAAUAUAAUUUCUCAGAAUCAGGUAGGAUUUGUGAAGGAAAGGAGUAUUAUAGAAAAUGUAUUAUUAGCGCAGGAGAUAAUUAGGGACAUUAACAUAAGAAAACAAUAAUAUCAAUAUAGUGGUCAAACUGGAUAUGAUCAAAGCAUAUGAUUGAGUUUUCUAGAUAUUUCUUAAAAAGGUGCUAAGGAGAUUUAGGUUCUUAGAUGUUAUCAUUGACAUGGUCUAGAUACUGAUUUCCAAAAACUGGUAUUCAGUGUUGGUAAAUAGGCAUUCAUAUAUUUUUCCAAUCUUCAAGGGCUAUUAAGAAAGGUAAUCCUUUUUUCUGUAUACUAUUCAUAAUUACAACAGAAGUACUACAAGGGGUCUAAACAUGUUACAUAGUGACAAUCAAUUCAUGAGAUAUGGACUUCUAAAGUGGAAUCAGGAAAUCAACCAGCUCUCAUAUGUUGCUGACACCAUUCUAUUUUGUUCAGGAUAUUAGGCAUCCAUUAUUAAAAUGAUGGUAGUUCUAAAGAAUUAUAAGAGUGUUUCGGGACAAUUAGUCAAUAACAAGAAGAGUUUUUUCUACUUGCAUGAUAAAACACCAUUGAUUAUUGCAAUAAGACUGAAAAGGUUAACAAGAAUAAGAGAAGGAAAUUUUCUUUUUAUCUAUUAGUGAUGCCCUAUUUUUAUAGAAGAAAGAAUAAGGCCUAUUAUGAAGAUUUUUUAGGAAGGUAACAAGAAGAAUGUUAAUGUGGCAGAAUAAAUUACUAUCAUUUAGAGGUAGAUACAUUCUCAUCAAUCACGUUCUGCAAUCAAUGCUAGUAUACACACUUUCAAUAAUGAAUCCUCCUCGAAGAGUCAUUGAUCAGCUUCAUCAAAUCUUUGCUAAAUUUUUUUGGGGAAGUUCAAAAAAUGUAAAGAUAAGACAUUGGGUUGCAUAGGAAGACAUGUGUUACCCCUGAGAGAAAGGGGGACUAGGUUUUACAUCCCUACAUGAUAUGUCCAAAGCAUUAUUUGCAAAAUUCUAGUGGAUAUUAGGACAUCAACCAUUUCCCUAUGAGGCUCCUAUAUGGGUAACAAAUAUUUUAAAAAGUUUCAUCCAGUAAUCAAAAAUUUUUUGGUGUUUCACAUAUUUGGAGAAAGAUGGUGGAUAUAAGAGAGGAAGUGGAACAUGAAAUUUAGUGGAAGCUCAAGGAAGAAAACUCUAGCUUUUGGUUUGACAAUUGGACAAAGUUAGGGGAAUUGUAUUAUGUAGAAGAACAAGAAGUAGGAGAAGUGGAAAUGGAAGUUUAAGAUUUCAUCACUAAUGGGGUGUGGAAUGUGGACAAACUGAGAAGAUAUUUAUCAAAAGGUUUGAUUAUUCACAUAGUUGAGAAUAUCAAACCUCAUAUUAGAAUAGUUUCUAAUGACAGAGCUUGGUGGAUGGGGAAUACUAAGGGAGAGUUCACAGUGAGCUCAGCUUAUCAUAUCAUGAGGCACAUGAGAGAGAAAAUAGAAUUGAUGCAGAAUAUUUGGAUAAAAGAAAUUUCUUUUAAAAUUACUUUCUUAUUAUAGAGAGUAUGAGAGAAAAGGAUACCUAUAGAUGAUAAUUUUAAGAGGAUGUAAUCCAAGUUGUCUCAAAGUUCCAAUGUUGUGAGGUAGGACAACAAGAAUUCAUGACACAUUUAUUACUAACAGCAACCAUAACUCAACAGCUAUGGAGGCAGUUUGCUACAUGUGUAUGUAUAGACAUGGAUGGGCUUAAUCUGCACCAGGCAAUCCACAGGUGGUGGAGCUAUGAAGGAAAUCCAAAAAUAAAGAAAAUCUUCAAAACAGUCCUGUUUUGCUGAAAUUUUGACUUUAGGAGUCGCCACUUAAUUUUGGAAAAGGAAUUAAAAAACCUUCGUAAAAUACUUAGACGAUUCAAAAGAGGAAAAUCGUUUAAGUUAGAGAUUCUAAGAGGUUCCUAUUAACGUUUUAGGAAGGUUUUAGGCAUCUAAAACAUUCGCUAACUUACGGUUAUCUGGACUGUUUGAAAACAUCUUUUGACUAACUUAGAAAAAAGAUUGAUUUAUUGAAAAGUGAUUGAUUUUUUUAGAAAAAACUAGUGUAAAAUAGAUUUAGGCGACUUAGUAAGGAUUUUAACUAAGUCUAAACAAAACUAAUUAAACAAAUAAACAUAUAAAAGGGGGAAUGAAGGAGAAAGUAAAAGAUUUAGGCCAUUGGACCCAAAUCAAUGAGACUUUUCCUAGUCUAAUUGGGUUUUCAACCCAUUUCACCUGUCCUAAUCUAGUUUUCAAUCCUAUGGCUCGAGUCUUGCUCCACCUUUAUUAAAUUUACAACUUUAGCUUUGAGGUACAAAUGAAUGAAUAAAUAAAAUAAAUAACUAAAGGCGACAAUAAAUGAAUAAAUUAAAAAAAUAAAAUAAAAAAAUGAAACGUUCAAGUCUUUUGGCCACUUCAAGAAUGGAUUUUGACCCUCUUUUUUUCUUUCGACUCCUCCUAUUUAUACGCCACGAGAUCACUUUUGAACUCAGAACUUCGGGCUUGACUCAAUGAGAUGGGCCUCAUUGGCCCAUUAAGGAAUGCAAGGAGAAAAUGUUCAUUUGGACUCUAAGGUGGAACGCGAAGCAAGAAAAAUAAAGAAUAUUAAUACAUGACCAACAAAAAAAAGGGAGGAACAAUAAGUCAACACACGAUCAACAAAAAUAGGAAAACUAAAAGUAGUCAACACAUGACCAACCAAAGCAUGAAAGAAAAGGGAAGAAAAUUAAUACAUGGUUAACUUCCAUAAGCAAGUUGACACGAAUGCUAAAUAAUUUUAAAGCCAAUUGGAAACAAAGACAUAUCCAUAUCAAAGAAAAUAAUAAGUUCGAUCUAGAGGAAAAAUUAACAGUAGUAAACAUAUAGUCGGCCAACAAAGAAGGAAAGAUAUAGAUAAAAUUGAUACAUGCUUAACCUAAAAGGCAAGUCUAUAUAAGCAAAUAAUUGCUAAAGAAUAAAUUUCACAUGUUCCUUAAAGAGGAUCCGAUGACUGAUAUGAAAAUUUUGGAAUAAAGAGUAGCCUAGGGGAACCGAGUUGGCAUACUCAAGGUUCUCGCUAGAGCUCGACUUUUUCAAUAUUUUCAUUCUCCCUGAAUUCAGCUUUAAAUAAACAAAAAGGAUUAAGAACCAAAGAAAUUAAAUAUUCAAGAUUUCUUUAAUUAGAUUAACCAACUUUCACAUUCUCUAAAAUCCAAAGGCGAAUAAUGCAUUCACCAAAUGUUAAACAUCUAGUUUUACCAGAAGAAGAUAUUAUAGCUAAAAGAUGAAGGGGAAAACACAGUUACUAUGAAAAUCAAGCUAUAGUCAGGGAUCUAUGGUGUAGCAAAUAACAAGUAAACAAACCGAAGACACACAAUUAGCAAUGUAACCUGCAGGUAAUAACAGAGAGCAUGUGUAUUCUAAAAUCCUAAAAAUCACAUAGCAGACACUUCUGUAAAUAGUUCAAAUAGUCAAUUUGAUCCUUCAAAAGGCAAAACUAACUGUUAUAAUUUUGAGGGGGGAGGGGAAAAUUAGCUAUUUGAUGAAACCUGUGUAUUGUAGAUCAAAAUAUCGUAGAUUUGUGAGAAAACAUGUGAGAAAUAGUCGAUUUUAUACUUUGAGAUGAGAAGAGAAAUGGAGUACUACCAACUUAACAAGAGAUGAUUGUUACCUAAUACAAAAUAACAUAUGCUUUCAUCAGAAGUUUAGGAGCUGAAUCAAUAACAAGAACAUUUUUAAUCAACUACUCUGUUAAUCAUCUAGAUAACAAUACGAGUGACUAAAAUAUGCAGGAACAUCCAAAAUGCUCCAAUAUCAUGGCAGUAUAUGAAUCGACGCAAAAAAAUCAAACAUUAAGCAUCUUAAAAAGUUGCAUACAUUCGCUUCAAACAGAACCCCAAACUUAAAGGCAUCUAAAAAAUGAAUCCUACCAAUACUUACAACAACAUACUCCAACAUACCCCCGCAAAUCGAUAAAUAAUAAAUCAAGGUAACUAUUUUAAUCUUCAUCAAACCAAAUUGACAUUAGACAGUGACCCAACCACAAAUUAAGAGAUUAGACCUCAAACUUGAUGGACGAAAUGGGAAGCGAUGAAUCAAAGAAACCAUCUUUAGUCCAAAACUAAAAACUUUCUCCUACAUAAAUCAUUUAAUCUCAAUAAUGAAUUAGACAAGACAGUGUACGAUUUUUACAUAAAUAGUUUAAUCCCAAAAGUAAAUUAGACAAGAAUAGUGCACGAUAUCUACGUCAUAUAUACAUCGACUGACAAUCGCUAAACCAAUUUAUAAUUAGCAAAUAUAGCCACUUGACACCAUUAACAGGCAACAACGAACAUGUUCAAAGAUUGAACUGAAAACUAUAACGCAAUCAAUGUUUUCAAGACAAACAACACAUAGCAGACUAUUCCUAUGGCUUGCAUAGCCAUCUACAGCUACUCCUAGAAAAGUACACUAUAAUGAAACAUAAAUACGACUACGAAAUGGGGAGAUAAAGGAGAAACAAAUAGAAAGAUAAGUGAAACAGAGCAUUACCUGUUUCAUGGCAGCAACUGACGUUAGAAUUACCACCAUUGAAAAACAUCUUCGCAUUCAAUUCGAAGCUCUACUUUAGCCGACAAACUUUAGGAAAAGCAAAAUUUCUACAAAAAGAAUGAAUUUCGCCCCCAAGAAUUUUUUCUUUUUCUCUUCUCCCGUUUUCUCUUGGAUUUUCUAAACCAAAAUCUUCCAACCCCUUAAAACAGUGACCAAAUUGGUUCUUAUAAAGAAGAAAAAAUUGAGGUAUUUUAGGGAUUUGAAAGUAGGAUAUUUUGAAUUUGAAAUUCAAAAAUUCACCCCACGGCCCCAUUUUCGUCCUCAAUUUGUACCCAUUUUUUUGGAUUUUUUCUAGAAGAAUUAUAAAAUGGUGGACCAAUGUAAUUUUGGCACAACCAAUUGGACCAAGGGACAAUGAAAUUGUAACAUAUGUUCACAAAAUCGUAUCCUUAUACCUGAGAUUCACAGAGUUGAGCUAUGUAGGGAGACACCUGGAGUUAUUCUAAAAGGUUCUUGGGCUUUUCCUUGCCAUUAUUGGGUGAGACGCGUGGGGAAGUUUCGGGUCAGAUCAUUUUCAUGGUUUUUGGGUUGAGGUCGAUGGGUCGCUGGGUCGGGGUUGUUCGGAUCAUUGACGAGUUGUUAGCUAUCAGUGUUGAUGGGGCUAAAAUAGAUCGGUUCAGGGUUUUGGUAUUGUGGCUGAAGUACU